CCAAUAGCGUAUAUUAAAGUUGUUGCAGUUAAAAAGCUCGUAGUUGAAUUUUAGGCCUGGCCGGAUGGUCCGUCUUUGGCGAGUACUGUUCUGUCGUCGGGUCUAUCCUUCUGGUGAGCCGGGAUGCCCUUUAUUGGGUGUGUCGGGGAACCAGGACCAUUACCUUGAAAAAAUUAGAGUGUUUAAAGCGGGCAUUUGCUUGAAUAGAUUAGCAUGGAAUAAUAGAAUAGGACGUUGGUUCUAUUUUGUUGGUUUUAGGACCACCGUAAUGAUUAAUAGGGAUAGUUGGGGGCAUUAGUAUUCAAUUGUCAGAGGUGAAAUUCUUGGAUUUAUUGAAGACUAACUAUUGCGAAAGCAAUUGCCAAGGAUGUUUUCAUUAAUCAAGAACGAAAGUUAGGGGAUCGAAGACGAUCAGAUACCGUCGUAGUCUUAACCAUAAACUAUGCCGACUAGGAAUCGGGCGACGUUAUUUCAUGACUCGCUCGGCGCCUUAUG
This 495-nucleotide unclassified non-coding RNA is filed under the name uncultured Archaeospora. RNAcentral's name for it is "SSU rRNA". It matches the Rfam family "Eukaryotic small subunit ribosomal RNA", at positions 591 to 1092 of the family's 1831-position model. Lineage: Eukaryota; Fungi; Glomeromycota; Glomeromycetes; Archaeosporales; Archaeosporaceae. The record is from RNAcentral.